GUAUGGACUACCAGGGUAUCUAAUCCUGUUUGCUACCCAUACUUUCGAGCCUCAGCGUCAGUUACAGACCAGACAGCCGCUUCGCCACUGGUGUUCUUCCAUAUAUCUACGCAUUUCACCGCUACACAUGGAGUUCCACUGUCCUCUUCUGCACUCAAGUUUCCCAGUUUCCGAUGCACUUCUUCGGUUGAGCCGAAGGCUUUCACAUCAGACUUAAAAAACCGCCUGCGCUCGCUUUACGCCCAAUAAAUCCGGACAACGCUUGCCACCUACGUAUUACCGCGGCUGCUGGCACGUAGUUAGCCGUGGCUUUCUGGUUAAAUACCGUCAAUACCUGAACAGUUACUCUCAGAUAUGUUCUUCUUUAACAACAGAGUUUUACGAGCCGAAACCCUUCUUCACUCACGCGGCGUUGCUCCAUCAGACUUUCGUCCAUUGUGGAAGAUUCCCUACUGCUGCCUCCCGUAGGAGUUUGGGCCGUGUCUCAGUCCCAAUGUGGCCGAUUACCCUCUCAGGUCGGCUACGUAUCAUUGCCAUGGUGAGCCGUUACCUCACCAUCUAGCUAAUACGCCGCGGGACCAUCCAAAAGUGAUAGCCGAAGCCAUCUUUCAAACUCGGACCAUGCGGUCCAAGUUGUUAUGCGGUAUUAGCAUCUGUUUCCAGGUGUUAUCCCCCGCUUCUGGGCAGGUUUCCCACGUGUUACUCACCAGUUCGCCACUCACUCAAAUUAAACUCAUGACGCAAGCACCAAUCAUCACCAGAGUUCGUUCGAAUUGCAUGUAUAGU
This 786-nucleotide ribosomal RNA is filed under the name Lactiplantibacillus plantarum. RNAcentral's name for it is "Lactobacillus plantarum partial 16S ribosomal RNA". The record is from RNAcentral. Lineage: Bacteria; Bacillati; Bacillota; Bacilli; Lactobacillales; Lactobacillaceae.